CCCAUAUUCAGCAGCCUCUCCCUAAAUACAAAAAUCUUUGUAUGAAGAGUUUAGUCGAGUUAUAGUCUUUUCCCGCUUGAAUUUCGUGCCCAUCGCCUACGCUACAAACAAUAUCAGUAACAAUUUCCACCAAAGAUGAGCCAGACAUCAGUGGGCGUUGACUUCACCCUGGAGACAGUUCAAUACAAGUUUGCUACCAUCAUCGGGGAGCUAUGUGGGAAGCCAUCUGUUCUCUCACAGUUUGCAGUCUGGUUAGACCUGAGAUUGUCUGAAUACAAGUUAAAAGGAUCUAUAUCAUUAGACUGCUCUGGUUUAAAGCCUGAUCCUGACUGGCUGCAGGGUCUGAAGGACACGGCCCCUCCACGGACACAUCACCCCACUGACAGACCCACGGGGGGACAACAUGGUCACUCUAGACUCAGCCGAGAGGCACAGCAGAGUGAGCGUACCACCAGUUGUGGCGCAGAUAAUGCGGAGUCCCCAGAUAUCGUUGUCAUCAAAGAAGAACAAAAUGACUCUAACGACCAGGAAGUUUAUCCCGUAGGUUUACACGAAAACAACACUUCAACAAGUUCAGCAGCAGUGGGUCGAGUGGAGCGCAAGCGCUUUUCUGACACUAAUGAUUUGUCUCCAGCAAAAUAUCAGCGUUUUUCAUCCCCAUUACCCCAGGCAUCACAUGCCAGUUUUUCCCAGGAACUCUCUCUCUCAUCCCAUGACCAGUCCCUUUCCCGUAUCACAGAAACCAGUGUUGAUAGUGAAUUAGAACAGUUUAUACAAGACAACAGCAGUACUUAUCCAAGGGGACACAACUCUACAGCUUAUGCAGACCAAGGGGGGAAUAACUCUGCUGAGUUUUUUUUCAGCCAGUGUUUUACAGGACAGUUCAGAGUCUGCUCAUUCGACAGAUCUUAAGUCAACAACAAUAGAAGAAACUAGGGGAGCAGCGAGUUCUUCAGAUGCAGACCUUGGCGUGUUCGGGGCGGGAUGGCGGAAUCGUUGUGGGAGGGUCCCAGGGGUUACAGAAGUGGAUUCACAGGAAUAUCUGGACACCCAGACGGUUAUUUUGGACCAGUUCCAGAAACUUUGGAAAUCGGCAGGCCUAAAGUCAUCAAUUCUACCGUUCGAAACGCAAGUGCUUCCAAGGGACUGUUUCAGCGCUGGUUGUGGUCUAGUGAGCAUAACGAUCACCGACGCAUUGAGGAGAUUCCACCGGCUGUUCUGGACAAGUAUCUGGCUGAAUUUUUCUUCAAGGCCAAAAAACGCAACGGCCAGGAUUACGACGCGAGCAGCUUAAGGAGAAUUCGAGCCGGACUACAGUUUUACUUGCGUGAAGCUGGCUACCAGUGUUCCAUUAUACGCUCUCCAGCUUUUGCGAAUAGUGCAGAGGCGAUAAAACUUCGCUGUCAGGAACUUUGUAGUUCGAGCAUGCCCACUACAUCCCCAUCGCACACUGCUGCCCAUAACACGAUGCAAAAUUCGUCUUUCGGAUAAAAUUUGUCUUGAGAUGAUACUUCGAUUCCUUCCAUUUUUGGAUCCACAGUGCAUGGAGGUUUAUGGAUGUCAGUUAUCGAGGAGUAGCAUGAUGUACAUGUACUGCGUGUCAUAUGCACGCCACAGAACACAGAAGAUAUUUGAAUCCUGCCAAUUGUUCAGCGAAACUUAGGCCUAUGCUGGAACCAAGCGAAAUGGCCAUUCCAUACGGGUCGCGAUAGCGGUGUGACGAGAACUCCAGGUCUCUUGCCAAGACGGUAUCGGAGUGGAGCCAACAUUCUCCAAGGCUGGCUGCGGGGUUUCAACCCGCCAGACCUGAGACCUAUACAUUCCAUACCCCCAAAAGAGCUUGACCUGUUGCUGGAACAUUUCUUCUCUACCAUCAUGUUACCUGAUGGUCGUCAAUACAAAUCUGGCACACUAAAAUCGAUACGAUAUGGCAUAGACCGCUAUCUGGAAUCCAAAGGUUAUGCCUGUUCUAUCCGAGAUCCAAAGUUCUUUCGGAAGAGUUACGCAGCUUACUUCUCGAGAAGGUCCAUGCUGGAUUCCACUGGCAAUUCGUAAAUGUUUUAAACGGUGCUGUACAUAGUUAUUUGGGAAGGGUAAGACAGCACAUAUCAUCAAAAGGUUCGUAGUGGAUGGCCGAGAUUUCUUGAAUUGUUUAUCCCACCGGUUGCUCAGUUGAGAUUAAGAGGCAUAUGGUAUAGGCACUAGUGCUAAAGGUACGCAUUGUCACCUCGUUUAAGUGUAGGAUUUUUUUCCUGUAAAAUAAAUCUCAUUUAUAAUUUUGUUUUGUAUGACAUUAAAGCUUGUGUUGUGUUUCCCCCAUAUAUCAUAAUAUUUGCACCAACAUGUGAACAACCUUUACAUCUACAAUUACAACCAACUAACCAACCAGUGUAAACGAAUGAUCAUUAUGCGAUCAGUUGAUGAGCGGUGGCAUUAUUUUUCAAAUUCACUGCUCUGUAAUAAAGGCUGUCUAAUGAAAUCCGUCAGCAUUA
Molecule: RNA transcript, 2492 nt
Organism: Liolophura sinensis
Lineage: Eukaryota; Metazoa; Mollusca; Polyplacophora; Chitonida; Chitonidae
Exons: 5
Source: RefSeq, a predicted model, not a curated record